Molecule: ribosomal RNA, 482 nt
Filed under: uncultured bacterium
Lineage: Bacteria
Description: bacterial SSU rRNA
Rfam family: Bacterial small subunit ribosomal RNA
Source: RNAcentral
AUUGAACGCUGGCGGAAUGCUUUACACAUGCAAGUCGAGCGGCAGCGCGGGGGCAACCCUGGCGGCGAGCGGCGAACGGGUGAGUAACAUAUCGGAACGUACCCCGUCGUGGGGGAUAACACAGCGAAAGCUGUGCUAAUACCGCAUACGACCUGAGGGUGAAAGCGGGGGAUCGCAAGACCUCGCGCGAUGGGAGCGGCCGAUAUCGGAUUAGCUUGUUGGUGAGGUAAAGGCUCACCAAGGCGACGAUCCGUAGCUGGUCUGAGAGGACGACCAGCCACACUGGAACUGAGACACGGUCCAGACUCCUACGGGAGGCAGCAGUGGGGAAUUUUGGACAAUGGGCGAAAGCCUGACGCAGCCACGCCGCGUGAGUGAUGAAGGCCUUCGGGUCGUAAAACUCUGUCGGGAGGGACGAAGGGGAAACGUCUGACGGUACCUCGCAAGAAAGCACCGGCUAACUCUGUGCCAGCAGCCGCGGU